GGAACCAACUGUUAUUGUCACAACAGCUCAACAACCAAAUACAGUGGUGAUGACCACACAAGCAUACCCGGCCUACAACCAACAGCCACCACCUUAUGGUCAACCUGCUGGUCAAGUUCAAAUGGUCGUCGAUAGCAAAGCUUAUUGAUUACAUUUUUUACAUAUAAUUACCAUAGCCUUUUAGGUCAAAUAAUGUAUUAUUAAAGGCCUAUAUUUGCACGAACAAUUAUGUAUUGAUAGAAUUGAAUCACCUAGCUAAAUAUGUAGUUCAGUAUAAGUUUCAUUUGUGCACUAUCAAAUUAAGAGGAGAAUCUUGUGUGUGUUAUGUUGAUAAUUGUAUUUAAAUUGACAAUUGCACGAACAAUAUUGAUAGAACUUGAACCAUCUAACUAAAUAUGUAGUUCAGUAUUUGUGCACAAUCAAAUUAAGAGGGGAAUGUUUUGUAAGUUACGUAACACGCACUCAAAACCAAUGAAUAUACCUUUCCACUCAGUUAUGACUAGUUCAAUUUUUUAAAUUUUUGAUACGUUUCUCUAGCGGCAAACAAACUUAAAAAGCAUGUUUAGUGCUCUAUCUGUAAGUACAGUUAUACAUCAUACCACAUACGGGAUUUGCGUCAAUUAGUGAACAUCAGUGCACAUGCUCACAUGUACUACUAUUUGCUGAGCAACGUGUGUUUGUAAAUUCCCACUUUCUGGCCAAUAGCUAGCCUGCUCGCAUCAGCCUUAAAAUUUGAAUAGCGAUCUUGAAACGGAUACGCGUCGCAAUGCAUUUCAGAUCGAUUACAUAUUGACAGGACUACAGGUGGUCUAAUUAAUUAAACAAAGUUCAACAGAAUCUAGCGAAUCUUUCAUCUUUUGGGAAUCCUUAAGGCCCAGCGAAAAAAUGGCAAUGUCAAACGGUAUACGAGUGGGCUCGAUCACAAUUGGAUGUUCGCUGUUGGUACUCACAUUCCUCUCCAUGAUUUGUGGUAUUGUCGCGAUGAGCAAAAUGAGUAAUCCAGUUGCUGUUAGUAUCGGUUUAUGGGGACUUUAUGUAAGUAUAACAUUUCACAGUGUUUUCUCUUUAACGUUCGCGUUUUUAAGUAAGUAAUUGAUUAGCGCCGGUGAACAAGAUUGCAUUUCCGUAGGACAUGUUGUAGAACAUUGAGAGUUUUACGUCCUACCAUAUUUUACAGUCUUAGAAAUUUAAAGAAAAGAGUUGUAUAUAUGACGGGAUGACGG
This is a non-coding RNA of Paramuricea clavata, 1223 nucleotides long. The record is from the annotation of a GenBank genome assembly. Lineage: Eukaryota; Metazoa; Cnidaria; Anthozoa; Malacalcyonacea; Plexauridae.